Felis catus (domestic cat) is the source of this 1283-nucleotide long non-coding RNA. RefSeq lists it as uncharacterized. The record is from RefSeq and is a predicted model, not a curated record. NCBI's taxonomy places the organism in Eukaryota, Metazoa, Chordata, Mammalia, Carnivora, Felidae. The transcript has 2 exons.
AACUGAAUCUACGGAAUAUUCCUUUGCUCGGUUUUGGGUGACACCCCAGGAGGGCUUCCAGAUAAAUUAUAGAAUGCCCAAGUUAUAUUUGAAUUUCAGAUACACGAUAAUUUUUUUUUAGUAUAAAUAUGCUCCAAAUACCGCGUAGAACGUGCAAAGAUGUUCAUCAUUUCUCUGAAAUGCAAAUUUAACUGAGCAUCCUGUUUUGUUUUGUUUUGUUUUGUUUCGUUCCGUUUCCAAAUCUGGCAACCCCACCCAUCAGGUGAGUCAGAGGCUUCAGAACCAAGCCAAUCAAGCUACUGAAAUCCUAGGAGAAGUCAAAUCAAGGCAGUACAUCUACAUUGAGCCGAAGUAUUUGCAAAGUGCCGUGCUCACAGCUGUGGGAGAUGCAACACCAUGUCAGAUCUGGCGAGAAAAUAGAACAAGAGAGGAAUGGCCACAGGCCAGAGAGAGACUACGGUACGAGUGUAAAAAGUUCGGCUCAAGAACUAUCGAAAAGCAAAAUAGUAGGAAGGAUGUUUCUAGUGGUUCUCUUCAUCCAUAACCUUUUGUGAUGGCUUCUUGCAAAGUGCGGCUUCUGCUCCACAGCUCGGGAGGAGGCUGGCGAGACCGGAGAAGAACAUUCUCUGACACGCAAGGAGGCUUGUGGGCACAGCACCUGCCUUAGUCUUUUAUUGCUGAGGCCCAAGGAUGGCAACAGGACCUCUUGUGGUUUCCCGACGCCCUGCCUACACCUUUGAACAUAACCCCAUCGUCAACUCUUCUCGAAUUACCCAUCUCAGUGUUUCUUGCCUGCACCAUGACUGACACAGCCGGGCUGUAAACACGUCACCGACUCUACCUUGCCCAGAGGAGGAAGCAACAUCCCACAGGAGGGGGGCAAGAUUCCACCCUUGCCACAUCUUGAGACACGCUUUCCGCACGCUGGCGGACGUGUGGUUUCCUGCACGCAAGGUGUUCUUUUUCUUCUUGGAGAUUUUGUAACUGAUGAUUUCUUUCCUGGCUUAGCUGCCUGCACAGUGUCUUUUCUUCCUUCAAGAGUGUUCAGGGAUCACCUGUCGAUUUUUUCUGACUUUCCUAGGUAGGAUGGGCUGCUUCCUCUUCUAUGCUCCCUUAUCACAUUAUACGCAUGCCCAUUAAAGCUCUUUUCGCUGCUGCGAGUUUUUGUUCCUAUGUCUGCUUUCCAACCAGUCUUGGAAUCCUCCGAGUGUAUUCUGUUUCCCUUUGUUCUCCGAGUCCCUGCUGUUGUCCCUGGUGGGCUUAAUAAACAUAUUUUGAAUGAC